Xiphophorus couchianus (Monterrey platyfish) is the source of this 598-nucleotide long non-coding RNA. RefSeq lists it as uncharacterized. NCBI's taxonomy places the organism in Eukaryota, Metazoa, Chordata, Actinopteri, Cyprinodontiformes, Poeciliidae. The transcript has 3 exons. The record is from RefSeq and is a predicted model, not a curated record.
AACAACAAAAACCCCCAGAAAUGAUACAUGUAGACAAAUGUCUGACCAGAACAUUUAAACAUCCAGUGCCCUAUGAACGUGCAUUCCUUCAGAUAUAUUUGAGUAAAUUUUACUUCAUCUGACUUACAGAGGAGCCCUGCCAAUUCGCGGGUCAGUAAUCAAAGACUUUUCUGUGGAAUUUAACUCCGACUUAUUCACAGAUUUUUUUGUAGAGCAUAUAUAAAAUAUUUGAUAGAAAAUGCACCUUGGAGAGCAAUGCUACAUAACAUGAUACUGUCUGGCAUUUACAAAGCAAAUCGAUGUUUGAUGUAUAAAAAUAGUCCAUCAUACUGCUACUGCUGGCCACGCCCCCCAACAUUUACAAUCAUACAUGAAAAUGGCUGCAAACAAUUGCGCAGUUAUAGAACUAUACGUCUUUGAAAAGCACUAGUGGAGCUUCCUGCACAACCAACAACAAUGCAGCAAGUGGUUUCUGGAUGGCAUGUCAACAACAAAACACUUGUCUUUUCCAGCAGCAAUUGUACAGCGCAUACAGCAGUAGAACCAGCUGACCAACCAUGUUGGAGCUCAGCUGGUGUUGCUAACAGGGCAGUGCCAG